This is a non-coding RNA of Triticum urartu, 2099 nucleotides long. The record is from RefSeq and is a predicted model, not a curated record. NCBI's taxonomy places the organism in Eukaryota, Viridiplantae, Streptophyta, Magnoliopsida, Poales, Poaceae.
GGUCGAACCAUCACGACGUUCGAUCCCCUUUAAUAGUAGAGAUGUCCUGCCUCCUGCCGCUUCUAAACUCAAACACACGCACACGAAGCCUCAUCGCGGAUCAUCUAAAAAAUUACAGGCGCUACAAUCAGAUGCCCCCGCUGCCGUCCUUGGGAACGGCUCGCCGCCCGGCGGUCCUCCACUCGACCACUGCCUUACGCACACCGGCUUCUCCUUACGCGUUGAGUCCGCAACUACCGGGUCGUGCGGGAGAGUGCGGAUCACGUGGCUUGAGGCGGUCGGGGAUGCGGGGAUCCAGGUGUCGGCGGCGGAUCUCGCCGGAUCCGUUGAAGGCGACGGCGGUGAUGGCUUGCGGCGAAGCGAGGCGACACAGAGUAGCCCGGGGAGGACGCGGCGCUUCUGUCGGUGCUGGGAAGAUGCGGAGGCGACCGGAUCUGGGGCGGCAGCGGCGGUUGCGGUUGCGGUUGCAGAAGACUUCGGUGGCAGUUCUUCUCCAGCAUUUCCGACACCAACAAGGCCGCCGGGAGGUCCCGGCUCGCCAACCAGCAACUGGACGGCAAAGCCUGGUGACGCGUGGGCGGAACCUCUUCCCACUGCUCCCGCGGGCGUUCAAGGGCAUCAAGCAGAUGGAGUUCAUCAAGACCUGUAUUCUUUUGCCCCCUUUUGUGAAAGGUAAAGAAUGUUGCUGGAGACUAUACAACAUAUGUGCUAUACAAGCAACCUCCCCAGCCGUGUACCAAGACUUCAUCAAGACCACGACCGAGAUUUGAAGAAACAGUGCUGACCUUGAUGAAAAAAGGAACAUCUGCCCUGAAAACUGCAUAGAGGCGGCACUGAAACUAUCCCAGGGCUGGGCUACAGUUAAACAGAGCUUCUUGAACUUUACUGAAGGUCGUAGCCCCGUCGAAGGCAAUGUCAAUGUAGAUGCUGAUGUCAAAGCCCUUGUUGUCAACCCCUUGCUACAAAAGCUAACGGAUUUUCUUUCCAGACUGAAGGCAUACCCUUACAUGAGCGACAAUGAUUAUUCUGCUUUUUUGCAAACCACGCAAGAUUUUUGCAGCGACAGGACCAUGACCCCUCAAGAAAUUUACAAAAACGUGCCUAUUAGUUCUUCUGAAACUGUGUGCUAAGUAAUUUUGCAGUGAUUUCUCUGAAGAAGAUUUGAAAUAAUGGGGUGUUUGAUUCAUAAUUCCUUCUUCGUAGGUGAAGAGAUGUAUAAGUAACAGUCAAGUUGUUGGAAUAGUUUGUGGAUAAUUAUCUCCCUACAGACCUAAAGGCCUUUCUAAGGGUUAAAGCAUAUGAUAAUCACAACUUGGAUGGUAUCCAUAUGAAAGAAGGUGCGCAUAAGUUUUCUACCCUCCUGCCUUGAAUACAAACAGUUCCCAGGUUCUUUGUUUCAGCAUUCACCUAUGGUAACCAGAUGCAAGUAUCCAUCCUUUUUCUAUGAAUUACUCCCAAAAAUGAAAUUUGCAGUCCACAACUUGAGCUAUUAUUUGUUUAUUUUUUUACUGCUUGCUUCCUAGCUAUUGAUCAGUACAUGAAUAUCGUCAUGCUAUCAUUCAGCAGCCGGAUCAGUAAGUUCAUAUAUGUACUAUUUUCUGAUCAAGUAACUUCAUAUAUGUACUCAUCUCUGAUAGGUAACAUCAUUAUGCCGCCGCUUGAAGAUAAACAAGCAUUUACUCUUUAUUCAGUUAAUAAACUAUUGUUUGUUUAUUUUUUUCUUGCGCAAAGCUCUACACAGGAGGUGCAUUAAAAAACUAUAUGGUGAUGAUCCUGAGCAUGAUGAUCUGUUGGUGAGUCAGAAUAAUUCUUACAGAUCGAAGUUAGCACCUAUCGAUGUGGGUUUAAAAAAUAUGAAAUUAUGAGAAUAGACAAAAACGCUCAUCGUUAAAAUUAUUUGUGUAUUUUUAAGUAGAGUUGUCGAAUGUGGUGGUAUCCAUAUGACUGGUGUCGUGGAUAUAAAUUGUCUUCUUAGGAUGAGUUAGGUUGUCGAAUUUCAUACCAGGCUUGAGCUUGAUAAUGAUAUUUACUUUUAAUGGGCUUUGUAAUGUGCUUUCAUUGAAUUAUGUCAGUAGAGAUGCACAAUGUGGGUACCUCAA